Long non-coding RNA from Carassius auratus (goldfish), 545 nucleotides. RefSeq lists it as uncharacterized. The record is from RefSeq and is a predicted model, not a curated record. The transcript is spliced from 2 exons. Lineage: Eukaryota; Metazoa; Chordata; Actinopteri; Cypriniformes; Cyprinidae.
GUGAGUCACGUGACUCUCUCCUGGUACAAAGGAAACAGUUUAUUGUCCAGCAUCAGUGAGUCUGAUUUCAGGAUCAGUCUCUCUCUUCCUCUGGAGGUGGAAUAUCAGGAUAUAAACACAUACAGCUGUGUGAUUAACAAUCCUGUAAGCACCCAGACCACACAUCUGGACAUCGAUCAACUCUGUCAGACAUGUUCAGACUGUGACAAAUGGAGUCAAAAGGAGCUGUGAUCCGAUUGGUCGUCUCUGCUGUGGUGGACGUGACAUUUUAUGAUGCAAUGUUUCCUAAUCUUUUUUCUGCCAUGACAUAGUUUAAAUAAGUAUCCCACAGCAUACCACUAAGCACUAAAAAAAGUGCUUUUUUUUUCAAUAAUUAAACUGCAUCAUCAGAGUUGGUAUUUUGGCUUUAUAUAUGAUCAGACACUUGCACCUUGCCCAAAUAGAGUUAACAAGACUUUUGAAGAGUGAAUGAUGUAGGUAUUUAGUUUGUAUGAUCAAGAAAGUUGUUAAUAAAGUGCUUCUUAUGGAAGAUGUGUUUUUGUAAA